Mugil cephalus (flathead mullet) is the source of this 285-nucleotide long non-coding RNA. RefSeq lists it as uncharacterized. NCBI's taxonomy places the organism in Eukaryota, Metazoa, Chordata, Actinopteri, Mugiliformes, Mugilidae. The record is from RefSeq and is a predicted model, not a curated record. The transcript has 2 exons.
GCCCAGGCCCAGGCCCAGGGACCUUACUUCCAACCCAGUCCCCAGGCCCAGGCCCAGGGACCUUACUACCCGGCCUGGCCCGACACUCAGACCCAAGGACCUUACUACGAGCCCAGGCCUUUAAUCGCAAAACCCAGUAAAAAGGGCUAGCGAUCUAACAAGAGCAGAUGGGAUGUUCUGUGAUGGACUGACCCAACACCUCCAGAAGAGCAAUGUCUUCAAUGUGGACACUUUUGAGCUGACUCGUGGAAAAAUAAAAAUGCAAUGCAUGAAAUGUGUAAAUGA